UGUAGGUAGCGGUGGAGCCAGAGACUCAGCUCAAGCUCCAGCCAGCGGAAGGGACCACCUGGGUAUUCUCAAGAUCCAGUUCGGUUCCUGGAACCUGCUCGCUUGUGGCGUGAACGGCAGGAGGUGUCCGGUCUGCGGGUUGCGGAGGAUUGCGCGGGUGGCAAAGGGAGGGCUAGCGCCCCUGCGGCCCCAGACUGAGACCAGAACAUGCAUCAUUGUUAGACCCAUCACCUACAGCUAGCCUGGACACCAUUAAAGGGGCCCAUCAGCUGCAAAUGGAUAAAAGUAUCUGAUAUUUGUGAAGACAGUCUCAGAGCUUCUACCUGGAGUUACACUCUCUAGAAGCUCCAGCUUAGCCUUCCUGCACCCAGCCCCACUCCAACUAGUCACAAGUUGGCUGUGUAUGGUGUUUCUUAGCAACGAACACAGACUCUUCCAGCAGUUCCACAGGCCCUUUGUCUUCAGUGAGCAGAAGAUUACAGAAACUGGCUACUGAAGAGGCUGUCCAAGUGACUGAACUCCUUCUUGGCCUGACUUAGCACACUUACUAUGGAGCAGUAACUGAGUGCUGGAUGUUACUCAUUUGUGCUCACCACCUACAGGUACGUAGAGAGAUUUGUCAGACCUUGUUUCACUAAGGACCACCCUCCAAGGAUCUCUACAGGAGGCUGCAUAUAGAGAGAGGCAGGCUUCCUAGGGUCUCCACUGCCUUAGGUUCCACAUGGACACCUCCAGGGCUGAGGGAAUUUGUAUCUCUUUACCUACCUGUAAUCCACAUAUCAACUAGAAAAUUCUGCCUCCUGCUAUUUUUGUUUGUUUGUUUGUUUAUUCAUGUAUUAAUUUUUGGUAGGAAAAGUUUUAACUGCUGCUUCAAUUUUCUUACUAGGUAGAGGACUAUUCAGGAUUUCUUUUUCUUCUUGUGUUAGUUUUGGUAAGUUAAAGUUUUCUAGGAACUGGUCCAUUUUGUCUGAAUUCUCAAAUUUAUUGGCAUAAACUUCCCUUAUUUUUUAUUCUCUGCUGUAUGUAAUCUGUAGUUAUGUCUUUUUCAUUGCUGAUAUUGGUUAUUUGUGCCUUCUCACUUUUUUUCUUGAUAAAUCUCACCAGAGGUUUGUCUAUUUUAUUAGUCUUUUCAAAGAACCAACUUUUGGCUUUGUUGCUUCUCUCUAUUUUG
This is a long non-coding RNA of Phyllostomus discolor (pale spear-nosed bat), 1171 nucleotides long. RefSeq lists it as uncharacterized. NCBI's taxonomy places the organism in Eukaryota, Metazoa, Chordata, Mammalia, Chiroptera, Phyllostomidae. The record is from RefSeq and is a predicted model, not a curated record. The transcript is spliced from 3 exons.